Molecule: unclassified non-coding RNA, 219 nt
Filed under: uncultured Thelephoraceae
Lineage: Eukaryota; Fungi; Basidiomycota; Agaricomycetes; Thelephorales; Thelephoraceae
Description: sequence contains ITS2
Source: RNAcentral
ACACCUCAACUCUCAUGGUUUGCCAUGACGAGCUUGGACUUUGGGGGUCUUGCUGGCCUAUGGUCAGCUCCUCUAAAAUGAAUCAGCUUGCCAGUGUUUGGUGGCAUCACAGGUGUGAUAACUAUCUACGCUUGUGGAUUUCCACCAGAUAACCUUCAGCAAUGAAGGUUCGCUGGGGCUCAUAAAUGUCUCUCCUCAGUGGAGACGGCUCUUUUGAAU